RNAcentral lists this ribosomal RNA (264 nucleotides) under uncultured archaeon. RNAcentral describes it as "partial 16S ribosomal RNA". It matches the Rfam family "Archaeal small subunit ribosomal RNA", at positions 748 to 1010 of the family's 1478-position model. The record is from RNAcentral.
CAGCCGUAAACUAUGCGCGUUAGGUGUACUGGUGACCACGAGUCACCGGGGUGCCGAAGGGAAACCGUGAAACGUGCCGCCUGGGAAGUACGGUCGCAAGGCUGAAACUUAAAGGAAUUGGCGGGGGGAGCACCACAACGGGUGGAGCCUGCGGUUUAAUUGGACUCAACGCCGGACAUCUCACCGGAUAAGACAGCUGAAUGAUUGUCAAUCUGAAGGUUUUACAUGACUAGCUGAGAGGAGGUGCAUGGCGUCAGUGACUGU